GUGGGUCGCCCUGCUUAUACUGAGAGGGGCCGGUCGCGCCGUGACACCUUCUGCGGCUACUGCUCUCGGCCAGGUCAUCCAGAGUCUGAUUGUCGUGAGAAGAAGCGCGAUCAGAGGCGCUCCUCUUCCAGUGGGACUUUUGGAUCCUCCUCGACGCCGUCACUCACUGACCAAGACAUUGUGAGGCUCAAGCGUCUCUUGGCUUACUCAGGCUCUUCGUCGGCCGGUUCCGCUGCUGCUGUGACUGCAUCCACUUCUCCACCGCCGCAGUCAUCUACACAGUCUGGUACAUCUUCGUGGGUUCUGGAUUCUGGAGCCUCCUUUCAUAUGUCCUCUGAUUCUUCUGUGCUGUCUUCUCUUUGA
This 363-nucleotide ribosomal RNA is filed under the name Triticum aestivum (bread wheat). Its description in RNAcentral is "partial small subunit ribosomal RNA". Lineage: Eukaryota; Viridiplantae; Streptophyta; Magnoliopsida; Poales; Poaceae. The record is from RNAcentral.